This 139-nucleotide ribosomal RNA is filed under the name uncultured bacterium. Its description in RNAcentral is "partial 16S ribosomal RNA". It matches the Rfam family "Bacterial small subunit ribosomal RNA", at positions 355 to 509 of the family's 1533-position model. The record is from RNAcentral.
UGGGGAAUAUUGCACAAUGGGGGAAACCCGUGAUGCAGCGACGCCGCGUGAGCGAGGAAGUAUUUCGGUAUGUAAAGCUCUAUCAGCAGGGAAGAAAAAUGACGGUACCUGACUAAGAAGCCCCGGCUAACUACGUGCC